Molecule: ribosomal RNA, 443 nt
Filed under: uncultured bacterium
Lineage: Bacteria
Description: partial 16S ribosomal RNA
Rfam family: Bacterial small subunit ribosomal RNA
Source: RNAcentral
CCUACGGCGGGCAGCAGUGGGGAAUAUUGGGCAAUGGGCGCAAGCCUGACCCAGCAACGCCGCGUGAAGGAAGAAGGCUUUCGGGUUGUAAACUUCUUUUCUCAGGGACGAAGAAAGUGACGGUACCUGAGGAAUAAGCCACGGCUAACUACGUGCCAGCAGCCGCGGUAAUACGUAGGUGGCAAGCGUUAUCCGGAUUUAUUGGGUGUAAAGGGCGUGUAGGCGGGAGCGCAAGUCAGAUGUGAAAACUCAGGGCUCAACCCUGAGCCUGCAUUUGAAACUGUGUUUCUUGAGUGCUGGGGAGGCAAUCGGAAUUCCGGGUGUAGCGGUGAAAUGCGUAGAUAUACGGAGGAACCCCAGUGGCGAAGGCGGAUUGCUGGACAGUAACUGACGCUGAGGCGCGAAAGCGUGGGGAGCAAACAGGAUUAGAUACCCCAGUAGUC